RNAcentral lists this ribosomal RNA (253 nucleotides) under uncultured bacterium. Its description in RNAcentral is "partial 16S ribosomal RNA". It matches the Rfam family "Bacterial small subunit ribosomal RNA", at positions 524 to 776 of the family's 1533-position model. The record is from RNAcentral.
UACGUAGGAUGCAAGCGUUGUUCGGAAUUAUUGGGCGUAAAGGGCGCGUAGGCGGCUUCGCAAGUGGUGGGUGAAAUCCCUCGGCUUAACCGAGGAACUGCCCUCCAAACUGCGUUGCUUGAGUCCGGGAGAGGUGAGUGGAAUUCCCAGUGUAGCGGUGAAAUGCGUAGAUAUUGGGAGGAACACCAGUGGCGAAGGCGGCUCACUGGACCGGAACUGACGCUGAGGCGCGAAAGCGUGGGGAGCAAACGGG